UAGGGUGUUUCAAAGAUGACCGUAUUGUGUUCUGGACUUGGAUGUUUUCAACAUAUUUUAUGGAGAAAUGGGCCCCCCGACAAGAUGAUAUGCUCUUCUAUGUCCGUCGAAAACUGUCCUAUGUCAGUGGUGAUAGUACUGAGGGAAAAAAGCAGGUUGAAGUUGAAGUUUACCGGAGAGAUUCUAAAAAGCUUCCUGGCCUGGGAGACCCUGACAUUGACUGGGAAGAGAGUGUCUACUUGAACCUCAUUCUACAGAAGCUGGAUUAUGUGGUGACGUGUGCUGUGUGCACACGCUCUGAUGGAGGAGAUAUUCACAUUCACAAAAAGAAAUCUCAGCAAGUGUUUGCAUCUCCUAGCAAACACCCAAUGGACAGCAAAGGAGAGGAGUCAAAGAUCAGCUACCCCAACAUAUUCUUCAUGAUUGACAGUUUUGAAGAGGUUUUCAGUGACAUGACUGUGGGAGAAGGAGAAAUGGUCUGUGUGGAGCUGGUGGCCAGUGACAAAAGCAACACCUUCCAAGGGGUGAUUUUUCAGGGGUCCAUCCGCUAUGAAGCACUCAAGAAGGUCUAUGACAACAGGGUGAGUGUUGCAGCUAAGAUGGCUCAAAGAAUGUCUUUUGGCUUUUAUAAAUAUAACAACAUGGAGUUUGUCCGAAUGAAAGGGCCCCAAGGGAAAGGACAUGCAGAGAUGGCAGUGAGCAGAGUUUCUACUGGUGACACGUCACCGUAUGGGACGGAAGAAGAUUCAAAUCCAGAUUCCCCUGUGCACGAGAGAGUCACUUCUUUCAGCACGCCACCAACCCCAGAACGCAACAAUCGCCCGUCCUUUUUCUCCCCAUCCCUCAAGAGAAAAGUGCCCCGAAAUCGAAUUGCUGAGAUGAAAAAAUCCCACUCGGCAAAUGACAGCGAGGAGUUCUUCAGAGAUGAAGAUGGUGGAGACCUGCACAACGCGACAAACCUGCGGUCGCGGUCGUUGUCUGGAACGGGACGGUCUCUGGUGGGCUCGUGGCUGAAGCUGAACAGAACAGAUGAAAACUUUCUACUCUAUGCACACUUAACUUACAUCACUUUGCCAUUGCAUCGAAUUUUAACAGAUAUCCUGGAAGUGCGGCAGAAACCAAUUCUGAUGACAUAGCAGAGAGCGGGCACUGCCUUGGAGCCUUGUUGCCAAGUGCCUACCCACAGCGGUUUUCUGUGCUGACGCCACCAUCUAGUGGUCAGGAACCUAAACCUCCGCAGGAAAAAGGGAAGUCCAAGAAUACCAGCCGAUCAAAAAGUGCCUCUUUCUUCCUUCCUCUGCUGUCGUACACCCAAUGCACACUUGGCGGUACAUCGCUUGAGUGUUUCUGACUGGAAGAGGACUUUUCGAGCAAGAUUUAAAAAGAGAAGGGGCUGUGUUUAAAACAACUCAACGCUUUCUGGACAGUUUGUUACUGUGUUUACUUUAUAACUAAGAAACCAACGAUGUGUACAGAAUGUGUUAAACUUUAUAUUCUUUGAGAGAAACAACCCGAGAAUUUCAUAACGAUGUACUAACGAACGUCGUUCCGUAGGCUCUCACCCAUACACUCUCCUUGUCAGUUUGGCUUAAUAUGCGUGUGUGAGCGCGUGUCGGGGGGGAUUGAAGGGAUGGAAGAACAAUUUCCUACUUGAGGGAGGAAAAAGGAAAAAGAUGCUACAAAGAUACAUGGCCAUUUUGGUACGUGCAGCGGGUCAGGUCAGAGCUUAAAAAGAGGCUGAAAAUGUUCCCAUUUGUUCAUGUGUCAGUUUUAGGACAGGUGAACUCUGCUGACAGAUUUCCGUAUCUACCAAAGAACAGCAACGUUUUCAUCCUCAAGAACUGGCGAAGAAAACGAGCCAGUGAAAAGAAGGCUAAAAUGUGCUGCUAUAGUCAAGCCGAGGUUCAUAUCCCGUACUAAUGCUGCUUAUCUCUCUCUCUUACCUGAGUCCAUACCAGUUGGAGUCUAAAGUGGAAACACAGGAGGCCGUAACUGGACUCCAAAACCUGAAAACCUUACCAAUAACCGACAUCCUCCUGCGUGCACUGGACUUCAGAGCCAGGUUCCAUGGGAGUAGCUCCACUUCAGCAUAAAGGUAGACUAACUUUAUCAUUCAGCCCAACGUGGUUAACCCAGCAUGGUAAGGAGGUCUUUUUGGGUUGGUUUUUUUUUUUAAUUUGAGGCUAGGCCGGAAAGCAGUUACCUUGGGUGCCCGGGCUUCCUUCCUGAGCCAGGGGGGAGAGGUGAAGUCCUAAGUCAGCAGCUGAAGUGUCCUCUCAAGGAACUCACUAGGUAGCUUGGCUGAGAUCCCAAGGUAGUGUGCCUGGUGUCGGUGGGUACGAGCAUUCUGCUCGCUCUCCAGCUAGAAGACCAGUCCUACUCUGAAGCCUCUCAAGAUGUUCCAUAUUUCUGCACUUUCGCACUGCCAGGCUGAGCAAAUCAGUGCUUGGUUUCCCUUCAAAUAUUGAUUGGAGAGAGAAGGGAAGAGAGGGUUAAUAUUCAUACUACUAAUGACAAUUGAUACCUUUCAGUGGAACAGCCAGAGGAAUUACACAGGUGAAAAGGAAAUGUAUCCAGAGUGGAACCCAAGUGGUAGGUGCCUGAAUGCUGCUCAGUCAACAGUAAUUUUUAAUGUGUUUUUUCUUUUUCAUAUAAUGUAUUAUGUUUAGGUAGCUUAAUUUCAUGUGAUCUGAAAGACUGAGCAAAUCUUGCUGUGUAAGACUUCAGAGCAAACCAAGACUGAUUCUAAACUAGUACAUGGGUAUAAAGGUGAUGUUACAGAAAGUACAGCUCAGAUGCCACGUGCGAGAGGUGUCCUCUGCUUUGUUACCUGUACGUGGGUGGAUUAUGAUGUCUAUAGUUUUUGAAGGGCUGCAAUGUAAGUGUCCUGAAAAAAAAUCAACUGUUUUAUUGUAUCCUGCUAGUGGAUAUACUAUAGGUAUGUUGAAGACUCACCUUUUUUUAAUAGCAAAGGGCUACAGGUAUGCCCAGAUGGACAUCCAUAGAAAACACAGGUCAAAAAGUCGACUGAAUGUUCAAAGUGCUUUUUGGAAACAAGUAGAUGUGCCAUAUUUUCAGUUAUUUCUUCUCUAAACAACUGACUUCAGGCUUCUUAUGUAUAGCCCCUGGUUCCCACUUCUUGUUAUCAAAUGUGGAAAACAAAUACUCGGUUUUGUUUUGCUUUCAAACAAACCCUUAAAAUCAUAAUUUAUUGUCCUUGUGUAGACAGAUUGACAGGGAAGAAGAUCAGAGUUUUGCUGGGGCCCAGGUGGCACCGCUGGGCCCUUAACAUGCUAUUGUGCUAUACCAAAAAAGAAAAGGGAAUGUUAACUGGAACCUCUCACCUUUUUAAUUUGGAGGGGUUUUUAAUUCUGUAGGUCCUAAGCAAGUAAAUGAUUUUGAGCCUCUGUUGGCCAUUGAAAUAAUUGCUGAGGAAUGAACUGGCAUGUCCUGCAUGCUGUAAAGGCUGUACGGUUGUCUGUGUCUUAACUGUUGGAGCACGUGGUUUUCAUUAGUUCUGUUGCUUGAGAAAGCAGUACAGUUAACAAAUUUGGGAAGCUUUGCAGGGCACUUUGAUUUAUUUACAGAAUCCCAUCAUACCUCACUACUCAGUUAACUUGUUCCAUCCUUCUGCCCACUCCCUCCCUCUGGAGAUCGAUGCUUGGCCGCUUGAACUGUCCGUAGAUGAUGUAUAUUCAUAGAUGACAAAUGCAAAGAUAAAAGUCUUUUCACCCUUAGCAGGUUUUUCACUGCUGUCAGUUUAACAGGUAAAAAGCCUUUGUUUUUUAAGAAAGCUCUUAAAUCAAUUAUUUUGAAUUAAGCAGAUUAUUGCUCUGCCUUAGAGACCACCGUGUAUGUGAAGUCGCGUUCUCUUCUUGCUGGCCAGCACAGGGUGGGUUCCAAGUCUCCAUGUUAAAAAAAAAAAAAAAGCCUUUUUUAGAAACACCACAAAUCUUUCAGCUGUCUUGGCUAAUCCAGUGUGUGGGGGUUCAUGUUCCUUCUCUUUUUAUUCUCUUGGUCUUCAUUGUUUACAAGGCUUGAGCAUGGUGGGCUCUGGAUUGCUGUUACUCAGUUUUCCAUUUUUGGGCACGGUGUGCUUUCCUGAAGAUUUUCAUACUAAAAUGGUUUUCCCAAAGUAUAUUCUUACACCAAGUUUUAAUUUCAACAAUGAAAUCCUUAGCUCUGCAGACAGAUUUCUUCCAGCAGACCUUCAUGUGCAGAAUCCCAUGUGGUCACUGAGGUUCUGUGUAGAUGUGAAGUCCACGUAAAUCAUCUACGCUUUCAGGCUAUUGACCUACUUCUUGCCAAUCAUUAAUUUUUCCCUUUACAGAUAAUUGCUUGUCCUGUAUUUUGUAGUCUAAAGCUUCCCCUUACUAAAGAUAGAUAUAAGAUAAAAUCUUCAGAAGUGCCUAAGCCCUGUUGUUAUUCAGUGGGGUUUAAGAACAAAUUUUUAUUUAGGAAAUAAAGAAAGUAGUCUUAAAAUUCUAUAUGUGUUGUGUGUAGCAGCAUCAAGAAACGACAAGUUUUUAGUUCUUCUACAGACUUGCCCUUCGUGCUUGAAAGACUCUCAUGGUCUCCAAAGGUCGUGGCUGAAAGUUCUGGAAAAUGGAUUUCUUUCUUGUGAUCCCAGCAGUCAGAUAUCUGCGAAUGCCUUAUCUCGUUUUGUGAGGUAUGACUGAAAGUGUGUGGUGCUAGUGUGUAGAAGUUCUGUGUCAAAAAUAGGUGCGGUAGAAUCCAGUUAAAGGCAUUGUGAAAUAAGUAGCUUUUACACCAAACCUUAAUCGAAAGAGUAUUUUACACCAGAAUGUAGCUGUUGGGAUGCUUGGUCAAGAUAAUACAAAGCUGCAAGCAGGUUACAAUGUUGAACGUUCUCUGUGUAAAUAUAUAAAUAUUCUCAGCCUAAUUUUAUCAGACUAUCACUUGUUGCAUGGUUGGGGUUUUGGUUUUUUUUGCCUCAUUGAUCAUCAGUGUCGAUUAAAAGAUGAUGGGUUGAAAGUCAUGCUGGGGCAGUACUGAGCCCUUUGAACAAAGAGCAAGGAGAACCUUUGUGCACCAAAAAUGGAGUUGACUUUGCGAAUGGCCGCAGUGCAGAACGGUGUUGGACCCUGCAGCCAAUAAACAGACCUCUUAAAUGACCGUGAA
RNA transcript from Calidris pugnax (ruff), 5142 nucleotides. It is a transcript of the gene named KIAA0930 ortholog, with no coding region annotated. Lineage: Eukaryota; Metazoa; Chordata; Aves; Charadriiformes; Scolopacidae. The record is from RefSeq and is a predicted model, not a curated record. The transcript has 10 exons.